GGCCGUAUAGUCCAACAGGGAGGAGACAACAGACUUAAAAUCUGUACAGUCCAGGUUCAAAUCCCGGUGCGGCUA
Molecule: transfer RNA, 75 nt
Filed under: Niastella populi
Lineage: Bacteria; Pseudomonadati; Bacteroidota; Chitinophagia; Chitinophagales; Chitinophagaceae
Rfam family: tRNA
About the family: Transfer RNA (tRNA) molecules are approximately 80 nucleotides in length. Their secondary structure includes four short double-helical elements and three loops (D, anti-codon, and T loops). Further hydrogen bonds mediate the characteristic L-shaped molecular structure. tRNAs have two regions of fundamental functional importance: the anti-codon, which is responsible for specific mRNA codon recognition, and the 3' end, to which the tRNAs corresponding amino acid is attached (by aminoacyl-tRNA synthetases). tRNAs cope with the degeneracy of the genetic code in two manners: having more than one tRNA (with a specific anti-codon) for a particular amino acid; and 'wobble' base-pairing, i.e. permitting non-standard base-pairing at the 3rd anti-codon position.
Source: Rfam by way of RNAcentral